GUCUUAUUGAUUAUAAUUUUAAGUCGAUCUGCCCAAUGAAAUAUUUUAAUGGCUGCAGUAUACCUGACUGUGCAAAGGUAGCAUAAUAAUUUGAUUUUUAAAUGAAAUCUGGAAUGAAAGAAUUAAUGAAAUAUAUACUGUCUCAAAUUUAUUUAAUGAAUUUAAAAUUUUAAUAAAAAUGUUAAAAUUUUUUUAUGGGACGAUAAGACCCUAUAGAAUUUUAUAUUAAAUUAUAAUUUAUAGUAAAUAUAUAAUUUAAUUUAAUAUUUAAUUGGGAGAAUUAUUAAAUUUAAUAAAUUUUAAUAAAAAAGAACUUUAAUUAAAGAAAAAAUUAUGAUCUUUAAUUUAAAAUCAAUAGAAUAAAUUACCUUAGGGAUAACAGCGUAAUAUUUUUUUAUAGAUCACAUAGAAAAAAAUGAUUGCGACCUCGAUGUUGAAUUAAGAUAAAUUUUAAAUGCAGGAGUUUAAUAAUUAAGUCUGUUCGACUUUUAAAAUCUUACAUGAUUUGAGUUCAAAUCGACGUAAGU
Molecule: ribosomal RNA, 527 nt
Filed under: Trigona hypogea
Lineage: Eukaryota; Metazoa; Arthropoda; Insecta; Hymenoptera; Apidae
Description: partial 16S large subunit ribosomal RNA
Rfam family: Bacterial large subunit ribosomal RNA (bases 375-527)
Source: RNAcentral